This 22-nucleotide microRNA is filed under the name Panagrellus redivivus. RNAcentral's name for it is "prd-miR-235-5p". Its record names the gene prd-miR-235-5p. The record is from miRBase by way of RNAcentral. Lineage: Eukaryota; Metazoa; Nematoda; Chromadorea; Rhabditida; Panagrolaimidae.
AGGAAGGGGCGUUUGGAAUGUU